This 74-nucleotide transfer RNA is filed under the name Patescibacteria group bacterium. RNAcentral describes it as "tRNA-Gln". It matches the Rfam family "tRNA". Rfam says of the family: Transfer RNA (tRNA) molecules are approximately 80 nucleotides in length. Their secondary structure includes four short double-helical elements and three loops (D, anti-codon, and T loops). Further hydrogen bonds mediate the characteristic L-shaped molecular structure. tRNAs have two regions of fundamental functional importance: the anti-codon, which is responsible for specific mRNA codon recognition, and the 3' end, to which the tRNAs corresponding amino acid is attached (by aminoacyl-tRNA synthetases). tRNAs cope with the degeneracy of the genetic code in two manners: having more than one tRNA (with a specific anti-codon) for a particular amino acid; and 'wobble' base-pairing, i.e. permitting non-standard base-pairing at the 3rd anti-codon position. The record is from RNAcentral.
UGCGGGGUCGUCCAACGGUAAGACAGCGGCCUUUGAAGCCGUUUAUCAUGGUUCGAAUCCAUGCCUCGCAGCCA